RNAcentral lists this non-coding RNA (23 nucleotides) under Gallus gallus (chicken). Lineage: Eukaryota; Metazoa; Chordata; Aves; Galliformes; Phasianidae. The record is from RNAcentral. RNAcentral also lists the same sequence under 22 other names.
UGAGGGGCAGAGAGCGAGACUUU